ACAUCUCCGAACUGAUUAAACAUCAACUAUUAAACCUGCGUAUUCGUAAUAACUACGUUAAAAGAUAAUGAUCGGUGUCUUCCCUCCCGCCCACCUUACCUGAGCUCCUCAGAUGUCUGUUUGCCACCGCGUCAUGAGGACGGGGCGAGUGUUUCCUUCCCCCGGCGCAUGCGCUCUGGGCUGCGGAAGCGAGAGCUUUUUAUUUUUUCCCCGUGUCACACACGCGAAGAGAAAACAGGAGCGCAGCUUCUGGGAUUGUAGUAGCGACAGUAAGCCCGGAAGAGUUUUGUUUUCUGCCCUGGUAAAGAUAUAAGCGCAUGACAAUCCGGUGGCAUGUGUGCGUUAAUGGUUGCAGUGUGCAGAACACUUUGCAGGUGGUGGGAUGCAGCCGUGCUCUGAUCACUGUUUUAAUAAUAACCUCUUUUAUUUAUAUUGGCCUUUAUGUCUCAAAUUGAAAUACCAAAGGGCAAAUUCACAUGCUGAUGAUGGCAAGCUACUGGGUUGUUGCUACGGAAACUGUUGAGUCUCAAACCGGUUUUUGCCCAAUUGGUCAAACAAGACCAAGACCUAACAAUCCGAGACAGAGGCCAAGACUGGGAGAAAAAUCAGGAAUCGAGCCCUCCUUCACUGGUGAACCUUCAUUGGGAAUAUUUGAUCCUCUAAACAUCACCUGAGAAUGAAGAUUCCACAGGGGUCGGUGAUAUCCGCCAGAGACUGCUCUCAGGAAAACAGCAGGAACCCUCUGAGAUGGGAUCUUUCCCCGGACGAGAUCAGGAUCGUCACAGACACGUUGAUAGCCAGAGUGAAGAAGGUCUACGACGAUGUCGGAUCUCUGCACAUAGAAAGUGUCUCUGCUGAAAACACGCUGGAAGCCCUGGCUAACGCUAAGCUGGACUACGCAUAAAAUGAUGAAGAGGUGCCACAAUCCUGAGACCCGGAGGAAGAUGGAAACGGCUUUCCACAGCAGGUGUAAACAGGUGAAGACAAUGAUUCUUGAACAGCUAAUCCAACUAAGGGCAAAGGUGGCAGACUUACUCGGUUACAGCAGCCAUGCAAACUAUGUGCUGGAGAUUAACAUGGCUAAACACGCAGGCAAUGUGUCCGGCUUUAUAGGUACGAGCCUUCUGAGACACACUACAAGAGAUGAGAGAGAUGUCACGCUACAUAUCUGGCAAAGAUCCAUCAACUGUCAUCAGGAUGUGUGAUGUAAGAACUGUUUACAAAAACUGUUUACAUAUUUACCUAUUCCUCUUUCUUGAUAUCAUUUCUUAAAAAUCUUUUUGUAGCAUUUGUGUUUGCAAAAACUUAUUUUUAGUCCUUGUCAAGAGACAUGACUUCCUGUUUACUACAGCCAUGCAUAACAUCAAAAUUUGAUGUAAUUACUUUGUGUAUCCUGAUUGAUUUUGUUCAAAGCCAUUUGAUGGAAACAUGCCUUGUUUGCAUUUUCUAAAUGUUAAUACUAAUGGUUAUGCACUAAAACAUUUAGUAUUGUGCUGAAUUCGUGGAAAACCUCUCAGGGUUUUUGUGAGUUUGUUAAAACACUGAUCGUUUUGCACUUUUUGGACUGUUUUUGAGAGAUGGUAGCUAGUUGUAUUGACUUUGCACUGCCACUGUUCAACGUGGUUAGAAUGUUUUUAAAAUAAUGGUCUAAUUUCUAUGGAGGACUGAAACUCGCCUAUAAAAUACACUUAAAAUGCACCAAUUAAAUAAAUAAGAGAUCUUCACCACAUAUCUUAUAAUUUUUCCUUGAUAUUUUUCCAGCUUAUUUCCUACAAACUAUUUUUUUAGCACAUAAUUUAAUACAUAUGUGUGUUUGUCCUUUACUUGUAGAUGCAGUCAUGUCUUAAGUGUGUGUGUGUGUGUGUGUGUGUGUCCCCUUCCCCAAGUCUUUUUAAUUGUUAUUUUUACAUAUAUCUGUCUUGUAUUAGGCCUCAUUUUGCUAAUAAGGUGUGCUGUCUUUCUUGGGUCAGCUCCUCCACUAUUGGUCAGCAGACAGGAAGGAGAAGAAUCCAUGUGCAGAUCUGUUGGCCAAUAGUUGAACUUACCCGAGAAGGACAAUCCCCCUUAAGAUGGUCCCCACAGCCAGCUGACAUUAGAAAAAUAUCACUGCCCACCUUAUUUGGACAAUAAAGCAGAAAUGCAUAAGGUAAAGUAAAAACAUGAGACAUGUAAAAGCAACUCCUGGAAAAAAAAAAAGUUUUUGGGAAAAAAUGAUAAAAAUAAACAUUUAAGAGUCAUAAAUGAAUCUACAAGUAAAGGGUAAAAACAUUUUUUUAAAUGAUAAACUGUAAAUUGUGCUAAAAUCUAUAAUUUGUUGGAACUAAGGUGGAAAAUAAAUAUGGACAUUAUAGAUGGUCAAUGAAAUUAAUAAAACAUUAGGUAAAGUUCUUACUUGGAGCCUUUUAAGUGCAUUUAUUUAUUGAGAUUUAUAUAGAAAAAAUAGUUCUGUUUUUAUUUGUCAAAAUGUUUUUUCUGUCUGUCAGUUUUGGUCCUCCAAUAAAUGUCAACACUUCUGCUUGUCUUGGACAAAUGUUUUCUUUUACACUUGAUUUAAGGGCUUGUCUCAUAUUUGAUAGAGAAAGAUGAAAAUAAAUGUAUAAUAUUUGA
RNA transcript from Gambusia affinis (western mosquitofish), 2607 nucleotides. It is a transcript of the gene named neurolysin, mitochondrial-like, with no coding region annotated. Lineage: Eukaryota; Metazoa; Chordata; Actinopteri; Cyprinodontiformes; Poeciliidae. The record is from RefSeq and is a predicted model, not a curated record. The transcript has 6 exons.